ACCGCGGGACAGUGCCACUAACACCGGGGGACAGUGCCACUAACACCAGGGACAGUACCACCAACCCUGGGGGACACCGCCGGCAGCGCCGCACCCGCCAGGGGAACGGGGAACGCGGCACCGGGGCACAGUGCCGCUAACACCGGGGGACAGGGAUACCGGCACCGGGGGACGGCGCCACUAACCCCGGGGACACUGCGGGGACACCGCCAGUGCCACCAGCCCCGCGGCACCCGCGCUGUGUCCCCACGGUGCUGCUGGGGAGCCACGGGAGCGGCCCCUCCGCUCGGGUGUCACCCAGUGCAGCUCCAUUGCAGAGGGAAGGUCACCGGGGGCAGGUGGCACGGGAGGGCGUGCAGCUGGUUUGGGGUGUCCCCAAGCCCUGGGCAGCGCUGUCACCCUCCAUGGGGAGAGGUUCUGGCUCGCGUUGGGGUGGAACUUGUUUUAUUUUUUCCUUUAUGGCCUCGUCCUGUCACAAUGAACAGAGCCUGGCCCCAUCCCCUGACCCCCUGGAGAAGUUUGUGUGCCUCGGUGACAUCCUCUCAGCCUUCUCUAAGCUAAACACGCCCAGCUCAUUUUUGGAUGAAGAGGAACGAGGCAGCCCCAGGCUGGAGGACUGGUACCUUCCUGACAUUUGGGAGCCAGGAAUCACCCCUGGAAUCUUUGCUGAGUUCCCCUGAUUAACCAAGGCUCGUCCCAAAGCUGAUGGCACAACACGUGCCUGUGGAAUCAGCAACAGCCACAGAGCUUUAUGGAUGCACAGUGAGGACACAAACAGCUCAAAACAGAGCCUGGACACCAAAAACAAAGGAGAAAGAAAAAGAGUGGAAGGAUGCAAGGAACAAAGUUGUGUCGUUCUUUCCCUUUUUAGGCAGGUUUUACACGUAAAGCUGCCUCAUCCUGGUGAAAAGUUACUUUUGUUCCGUGUCAAACAGCGAUGACUGUUCCGCAGAGCGAACUGACGAUCUCUGUGCAGAAAUGAAUGCUUGUCCUUCACUGCUGAUGAGAUUCCUCCAAGGAGUGACAUUUUGGGAUGACGCUGCUGGCUCGGGCUGCCAUGGAGAAGAAGGGAGCUGUUGCUGCUCUAUUUAUCCCCUGCAGAAGUUCUGGCAGUGAGUAACUGAUGGCUCGGGUUAGUCAGACAUCCACCCUUUCAGUGAUUGAUGGGUACGUGAGAGAGCCUUCCAGAAUCCUCUUUGAAUAGCAAGUGGUGUCAUCCCGAGCUGCCACUUGCCAAAUUUCACUCCUCUUUCACCUUUUCUUCGCAUCCAAACUCGGCGUGUGGAAAGUGACUUUUUUUUUCCCCUACAGAAUGUUACCUAAUACUCCUUCUCAGCCGCGUCAUUCUAGAUGAAGUUUUUUAGCCUUGAAACAUUUGCUUCCUGCCCACUUUCAAGCCUCAGCCCGGUGCAAAAUGAAUUAUCAAAUCAGAUUUUGGUGCUCGGAAGAGAAAAACCCCUGCAGAAACCCCACGGCAAAGCCGGAAAGUUCAGGUCACAAAAGAAAAAAAAUAAACCAAAGAAACAAAACAACCCAACCAAAAAACACGGCUUAAAAACGCUGCGAGAGGAACUGCACCCACUAAAAAGCCAUCGUUUGCAGGGCAGCCUUUGAUGGGUUUUGCUCCGCUCCGAGGAAAGGGAUCCGAGCUCCUCCCAAAGCCCGGGGCUGAGCGGCUUUUUCCAGGACGUGGAGCGCACAUGCCCUCGUGUGGUCACUGCUCCCGCACAUCCUCCCGCCGAUGGGAUGCCCCAAAGGAGGCGUCGAACAGCGGGAUUUAUAAAAUUCCCUCUCCUUUAAUAACUCCCAGAGCUCUCAGGUGGCUGCCCCAAGUCCAACGGGCAGCUCAGGAGGUCGGGCCACACACUUUCGGCUUUUACACACCUGAACUCCAGCAUCUGACAAGUUCUCCCCCUCGUUUUCCUGUUUUUCAGUGCCUAAAAGAUGCUUAAUAGCUGCCAAAAAAAAACCAAAACCAAAACAACAACAACAAAAAUAGACCAAGAAUACAAGGUUAAAAGUGGACAGACUUCUGUUUGACCUGAGUUAAUUACUGCAUUAGAAACUCCAGAUAUUGUGAGUGCACAGCCCCGACCGCUCUCCCGUAUCAGGAUUUUGCUUUUCAGGAGAAAUUGUUGCCCACUCGGUGCUGUUUUCAAAACAAUUGGAAGAUUAUUUCUAUUUUAAAGGGGUUUCUCCUUUCAGGGCUUUAUUUGCACCACGUCCUGGUGGAGGAAGAACAGCCGCUGUGACACUGCCGAGCCAGAGCCACAGCACUUGGGACAUUUUGGAAGUGAGAAGCAGCUGUGACAACUGCAAUAUUUCAGUGUUUGCAGCAGUCAGCAACAGCUCAGGGACCUGAAAACUUUUUCCUGCCUAUUUUGGCGGAGGAGAUUCAUGGCUAUGCCUGCACUCAGGUCUGUUGUUGUUCCAGCCACAUUUAAAACACCUUUUUGCCAAACCCUUUGUUUCCUCCCAGCUUAUGAAUUGAUUUUUUUUUUUUUCAUUUUCCCAUUUAUUUAUUUACGUGCAGUGGAGAACAGCAAACAUUUAGGCACCUAAAACACAUUUUAGGAGCUUCAUAGCCUCGUUCUGCUCUCCUGGAGCCAGAAAAUCACCUGCAGAACAAAAGGUGUCAAAUAUUUGCACUCCUCCCUGGCACUUUUUGGUUGCUUGGUCAUUCCCCCUCCACUUCUUGGUCUCUGUUCCUCCCAGCAGAACGAGGGAGAGAAUUGGAGGAGUAAAAAUGAGAAAACUCACGGGUUGAGAUAAAGAGAUUUAAUAGGCACUGUAAAAGAUGCACACACAAGCAAAGCCAGCCAAGGGAUUCAUUCCCCACUUCCCACAGUUCAGCAUCUCCGGGAAAGCAGCGCUCCAUCACGCAUUGCAGGUAACUUUUAGCACCUUUGAGGAGGAAAUAAAUAAGGAUUUUGGAUUGUC
Hirundo rustica (Barn swallow) is the source of this 2940-nucleotide long non-coding RNA. RefSeq lists it as uncharacterized. The record is from RefSeq and is a predicted model, not a curated record. NCBI's taxonomy places the organism in Eukaryota, Metazoa, Chordata, Aves, Passeriformes, Hirundinidae. The transcript is spliced from 2 exons.